Molecule: ribosomal RNA, 1393 nt
Filed under: Acidobacteriota bacterium
Lineage: Bacteria; Pseudomonadati; Acidobacteriota
Description: bacterial LSU rRNA
Rfam family: Bacterial large subunit ribosomal RNA
Source: RNAcentral
AAAGCUUGCGAGCCUUGCAUGAUCUCAAAGAGUUCUUUGAAUGUGGAAAGAUCUUUGUUAAUCGCCGUAACGAUAAUCACAAGGAGCAUCUCUAUCGCUUCUGCGUGAGAUCAAUUACGGAUUUGAGAGACAAGAUCAUUCCAUUCUUUCAAGAGAAUCAACUCAGGACAGCUAAGCGAUCGGACUUUGAGAAGUUCGCUCGCGUGCUGGCGUUGAUCGGAGAAAGAAAACAUCUGAACUCAGAAGGAAUCAUGGAAAUUGCGAACAUCGCGCAAACGAUGAAUCGCAAGAAACCAUCCAGGUUCUUAGAAUCCUCAGAGACUACACGCCAGGCAUCUUCCAAACAGAAGAUGAAGAUAUAGUCCGUGCUGCAUGGCGACAUGCAGAGGCCGGCAGAAAUGACCAGCCCGUCGAUGAAAGUCGGCGUAACAAAGUCAGAGCGAAAUUCCUUGUCGGGUAAGUUCCGACCUGCACGAAUGGCGUAACGAUCUGGGAGCUGUCUUAACGAGAGACACAGCGAACUUGUAGUACCGGUGAAGAUGCCGGUUUCCCGCAUUUAGACGGAAAGACCCCGUGCACCUUUACUACAACUUGAUAGUGAUUUCGGGCAAACGAUGCGCAGGAUAGAUGGGAGGCUUUGAACUCGCCCUUUUGGGGGCGGGGGAGCCAACGGUGAGAUACCAUCCUUCGUUUGUCUGGACUCUAACCUACCGCCGUUAUCCGGCGGAGGGACACUAUCAGGCGGGUAGUUUGACUGGGGCGGUCGCCUCCCAAAGAGUAACGGAGGCGCUCGAAGGUUGGCUCAGGCUGUUUGGAAAUCAGCCGUAGAGUGUAAACGCAUAAGCCAGCUUGACUGCGAGACAGACAAGUCGAGCAGGUACGAAAGUAGGAGUUAGUGAUCCGGCGGUUCUGUAUGGAAGGGCCGUCGCUCAACGGAUAAAAGGUACGCCGGGGAUAACAGGCUGAUCCUGCCCAAGAGUUCACAUCGACGGCAGGGUUUGGCACCUCGAUGUCGGCUCAUCGCAUCCUGGGGCUGAAGAAGGUCCCAAGGGUUUGGCUGUUCGCCAAUUAAAGCGGUACGUGAGCUGGGUUUAGAACGUCGCGAGACAGUUCGGUCCCUAUCUGGUGUGGGCGCAGCAGGUUUGAGGGAAUCUGUCCUUAGUACGAGAGGACCGGGAUGGAUCCACCUCUAGUGUACGAGUUAUCGUGCCAACGGUAACGCUCGGUAGCUAAGUGGAGCAUGGAUAAACGCUGAAUGCAUCUAAGCGUGAAGCCAGACCCAAGAUUAGACCUGCCAGUGAGGCUCGUCGUAGACCACGACGUUGAUAGGGUGGGUAUGCAAGCGUUGAAAGGCGCUCAGUUGACCACUACUAAUUAGCCCCUUGGCUUGACC